UCUGCAGCUCCUCUGCGGAGCGACGCGCUGCGCCGGGAGCUCCUCCGGUCCGGCGUGUGGCAGGAAACUCUCCUGGUCCCUGCGGAGAGGAUCCGUGGACCCUCCAGCUGGGCAGCGCUGUCCCCACAAUGACGUGCAGGGGCAGGUCAGCUCUGGGAGGUGGCUCCUCCCACACCCUCACAGGAGUGGGUGUUUCACAUCCAAUCAGGAGCAGGAGUGUUUUGGCAAGUGCCUGAGGCUCCCCCGGAGGGGGACUGGCAGACAGGCGGAGCGGCAGCCGGAAACUCUCCGAAGUCAGCUGUCGUCGUUGUUUAUUGAUUAUUUUCACUGAAAUUACUUGGCAUAGUCGGCAGGAUAUCAGAAAAACCCGCCUGAAGUCACCUGGAUAUACUUUGGACCGGUGCUCGGAAGACCAAGCCUGGGCCCUUUGAGCCCCUCUGGCUUCAAAGUACCCUUCAGGUGCUCUGAUGAUAUCAUCCAAAUGAAUUCAUAGGGCUUCCCUGGUGGCGCAGUGGUUGAGAGUCCGCCUGCCGAUGCAGGGGACACGGGUUCGUGCCCCAGUCCGGGGAGAUCCCACAUGCCGCGGAGCGGCUGGGCCCGUGAGCCAUGGCUGCUGAGCCUGCGCGUCCGGAGCCUGGGGGAGGCCACAACAGUGAGAGGCCUGCGUACCGCAAAAAAAAAAAAAAAAAAAGCUAUGUUGGAGGCUUUCAAGACAGCAGAGUGGAAGGACCUUGAGCUUACCUCCUUCUCAUGAACACACCAAUAUCAAAACUGACUGCUGGAACAACCACUGAUUAGAAACAAGACUGGAACCUACCGAAAAAUAUCUUCUACAUCUAAAGGCAUAAAGAAUACACCACAAUGAGACGGUUGGAGGGGUGUACUCGCAAUAUAAUCAAAUCCCCCCAUCCCCCCACCAGUGAAGUGAGGGCAGUAUGUUUGUUAGGUGAGUUGGUUGAAUCCUAUAUGCUUUGACUUGUUUUGGGGGUUUGGCAGGGUGAUAAUGGUAUAUAAAGUAUGAGAAUUAGUGGGGUAUGGGUUUGAUUAAGCAAGCUGUUUACCAGAUAUGAGUGUGCCUGUGUGGUAUGUGUGUAAUUGCUCUAUAUCCUGUGACCAUUGACGCAAUAACAUAUUAUGGUAGAUGAUGUUGGAAAAUAAUACUCAAUGCAAGCUCAGCUACAAGUUUCUCAGCUGUGUUAAGACCUCUGAUGGCCAAAGCUGAGUCACAGCAUGCCCCCCAAUUUAAAAAUACCAAAAGCAUGAAACCAGUUAUGUGUGAACAUGGCUGAUUAGUCAUUAGUCCAUCGAGGUAUAUUAUUGAAGAGGAAAGAGUAGGCAAUUUUAGGUGAGAUGGUCCUGAAGUAGUAAGAACCAGAUGCCAGAUAUAGUUCAUUUAUAGAAAUCCUCAUGGUUCAUUGGCCUAGAACGAGGAGAGAGGCAUGUUUGUGGAUGGGUUGAUUGUGGCUUGAUGAUUAAGCUCUGGUUAUCGGUUGUGAUAAGCAUGAUGACUGGAAAUGAUUUGACUUUAUGUGAUAUGUGUGAUUAAUAAACAUAUGUCCUGUAUAAUAUCAAUCACUUCAAUUACCCCUGGAAUCUAAUGUGAGUUGAACUGUUUAAUGUGUAUGUAAUAUCAAUAGGCUGAUGUACUUGCUUAUAUACAUGGGAUAAUUAAUUUAUGAUUACAUAUCAUGUAUUAUGCAUAAGAAGGUGUAUAUACUUACAUAUGUGGAAGGGCACAAAAUGCACAAAGUACAUAGUAAUGUUAGUUUUCAAGAUGUCAUUUUUAAAUACUUACACAGUACUUAAAGACAGUGUUAAUGUCCCAUAAGCAAGCUGUUCAGGGAAUCGUUGAAGUGGAAUUUCAGCUUUGGGUGUUUAUGGUGGGGCUGGAGCUUCUUCCUCGAGUCUUAGGGAAAAAUGUUGUUUUCCUUUUCUGGUUUAGAAGAACAAAGUAAUAAAUUUACUACAAAGACUCUUCAUUU
Long non-coding RNA from Mesoplodon densirostris (Blainville's beaked whale), 1982 nucleotides. RefSeq lists it as uncharacterized. The record is from RefSeq and is a predicted model, not a curated record. Lineage: Eukaryota; Metazoa; Chordata; Mammalia; Artiodactyla; Ziphiidae. The transcript is spliced from 4 exons.